AUUGAACGCUGGCGGCAUGCCUUACACAUGCAAGUCGAACGGCAGCACGGGAGCAAUCCUGGUGGCGAGUGGCGAACGGGUGAGUAAUAUAUCGGAACGUGCCCAGUCGUGGGGGAUAACGUAGCGAAAGCUACGCUAAUACCGCAUACGAUCUAUGGAUGAAAGCGGGGGAUCGCAAGACCUCGCGCGAUUGGAGCGGCCGAUAUCAGAUAGGUAGUUGGUGAGGUAAAGGCCAACCAAGCCGACGAUCUGUAGCUGGUCUGAGAGGACGAGAAGCCACACUGGGACUGAGACACGGCCCAGAAUCCUACGGGAGGCAGCAGUGGGGAAUUUUGGACAAUGGGCGCAAGCCUGAUCCAGCAAUGCCGCGUGCAGGAUGAAGGCCUUCGGGUUGUAAACUGCUUUUGUACGGAACGAAACGGCGAGCUCUAAUACAGUUUGCUAAUGACGGUACCGUAAGAAUAAGCACCGGCUAACUACGUGCCAGCCGCCGCCGUAA
RNAcentral lists this ribosomal RNA (499 nucleotides) under uncultured bacterium. Its description in RNAcentral is "partial 16S ribosomal RNA". It matches the Rfam family "Bacterial small subunit ribosomal RNA", at positions 30 to 523 of the family's 1533-position model. The record is from RNAcentral.